Small nucleolar RNA from Tachyglossus aculeatus (Australian echidna), 138 nucleotides. Lineage: Eukaryota; Metazoa; Chordata; Mammalia; Monotremata; Tachyglossidae. The record is from RefSeq and is a predicted model, not a curated record.
CCCCUCUCCGGGUCUCACCUAAAGAGAUCCCAGUCCUCUACCAGUUUCGACUACAGGAGGGAAAGCCAAGCAGAGGCCUGCCCAUUCCAUUCCUAGCUUGGCCAGUGGCUAGCGAGUGGAAGGCAAUCUGCUACAAGU